AGCGGCGGACGGGUUAGUACGGAACGUGCCCUUCUCUACGGAAUAGCCUCUGGAAACGGAGAGUAAUACCCGUAUACGCCCUUUGGGGGAAAGAUUUAUCGGAGAAGGAUCGGCCCGCGUUAGAUUAGGUAGUUGGUGGGGUAACGGCCUACCAAGCCUACGAUCUAUAGCUGGUUUUAGAGGAUGAUCAGCAACACUGGGACUGAGACACGGCCCAGACUCCUACGGGAGGCAGCAGUGGGGAAUCUUAGACAAUGGGGGCAACCCUGAUCUAGCCAUGCCGCGUGAGUGAUGAAGGCCUUAGGGUCGUAAGCUCUUUCGCUGUGAUGAUAUGCAGUAGCGGUAAGAAACCCGGCUAACUCCGUGCAGCAGCGCGGUAUACGGAGGGGGUUACGUUGUCGGAAUACUGUGCGUAAGCGCGCGUGGCGGAUUAAAAGUUGGGGUGAAUCCCGGGCUCAACCCGGAACUGCCUCAAACUGUAGUUAAAGUCGAAAAGGUGGUGGA
RNAcentral lists this ribosomal RNA (504 nucleotides) under uncultured Ruegeria sp. RNAcentral's name for it is "bacterial SSU rRNA". It matches the Rfam family "Bacterial small subunit ribosomal RNA", at positions 94 to 665 of the family's 1533-position model. The record is from RNAcentral. Lineage: Bacteria; Pseudomonadati; Pseudomonadota; Alphaproteobacteria; Rhodobacterales; Roseobacteraceae.